UACGGAGGGUGCAAACGUUGCUCGGAAUCAUUGGGCGUAAAGCGCGCGUAGGCGGUUCGGUAAGUCGGAUGUGAAAUCCCUCGGCUCAACCGAGGAAGGGCAUCCGAAACUGCCGAGCUUGAGUACGGAAGAGGGUCUCGGAAUUCCCGGUGUAGAGGUGAAAUUCGUAGAUAUCGGGAGGAACACCAGUGGCGAAGGCGGAGACCUGGGCCGAUACUGACGCUGAGGUGCGAAAGCGUGGGGAGCAAACAGG
RNAcentral lists this ribosomal RNA (253 nucleotides) under uncultured bacterium. RNAcentral describes it as "partial 16S ribosomal RNA". It matches the Rfam family "Bacterial small subunit ribosomal RNA", at positions 524 to 776 of the family's 1533-position model. The record is from RNAcentral.